UACGUAGGGGGCUAGCGUUGUCCGGAAUCAUUGGGCGUAAAGCGCGUGUAGGCGGUUCGGUAAGUCCGCUGUGAAAGUCGGGGGCUCAACCCUCGGAAGCCGGUGGAUACUGUCGAGCUAGAGUACGGAAGAGGCGAGUGGAAUUCCUGGUGUAGCGGUGAAAUGCGCAGAUAUCAGGAGGAACACCAAUUGCGAAGGCAGCUCGCUGGGACGUUACUGACACUGAGGCGCGAAAGCGUGGGGAGCGAACAGG
Molecule: ribosomal RNA, 253 nt
Filed under: uncultured bacterium
Lineage: Bacteria
Description: partial 16S ribosomal RNA
Rfam family: Bacterial small subunit ribosomal RNA
Source: RNAcentral